CACACACCACAACAGUAGUAAAGCAAAUUUAACCGAAGUCUCUUUGGUCAAUAACAGAGAGAGUGGGAAACUAUCGCUUUGAAUUACAGAGGAAUCUUUGUUAAGCGUAAGAGGGAGGUGAGAAUCAAAAAUUCAUCAGACAGAGUUCUAGAUAAGGGUCACAGCGAGCCUGGAGCCUAGAAUUUUCCAGAUGGGUAUUAAGUUCCCCCCUUUGGAUCCCAUCAGAGGACAAUCUGGAACGUGAGCAUCACUUAGUCCCAGCUGGUGAAAGACAGCAUAAGAAAAGUGAAACUUCCUAAACAGCAAUGUGACUCUGUGAAUGCAAAACAAGCCUAAUUUAAAGGAUUUUUUUCUUCUUCAGACAGCUAUCUUAUGUAAGUGCCUUAUACUGUGCCUUGAAAAAAAACUUUAUUUGUAGUAAAUCUUACAAGAGAUGAAAGAUCCAUAACAACCUGAUAUGACAACAAAGAGUAUGACUGACAGGUCUGUGUAUUUACUAUUACUGUGUGUUACUAAGCAGAAAACGUAGAUGAUAAUCACAAAUGUCUUUAAAGCACAUUAACCAAAAUAUAUUCAACAUUCCUGUGUUUAAAUUUGCUUCUGAAAACAUCGAUGCUUUAAUAGGAACUGUGAUGCUCGAUGAGCAAGACUACAUCACAUAUGUGGGGACUUGAAAUAGCAUUUUUGCUAUAAGUCGCACAGAGUCGAACCGUCUCCCUCAAGCUGUUUUUGUUUUUGUUCUGUUUUUUCUAUCUUUUUUUAUUGUCAGCAAACACACAAAAUAUAUGCAGUUUGUUUUGAAUUAAAAGUCCCUAUAAAUAAAAAUAAACAAAGGA
Molecule: long non-coding RNA, 836 nt
Organism: Ictalurus punctatus (channel catfish)
Lineage: Eukaryota; Metazoa; Chordata; Actinopteri; Siluriformes; Ictaluridae
Source: Ensembl